RNAcentral lists this ribosomal RNA (425 nucleotides) under uncultured bacterium. Its description in RNAcentral is "bacterial SSU rRNA". It matches the Rfam family "Bacterial small subunit ribosomal RNA", at positions 354 to 796 of the family's 1533-position model. The record is from RNAcentral.
GUGGGGAAUCUUGCACAAUGGGGGAAACCCUGAUGCAGCGACGCCGCGUGAGUGAUGAAGCCCUUCGGGGUGUAAAGCUCUUUCGACGGGAACGAUAAUGACGGUACCCGGAGAAGAAGCUGCGGCUAACUACGUGCCAGCAGCCGCGGUAAUACGUAGGCAGCAAGCGUUGUUCGGAAUUACUGGGCGUAAAGCGAGUGUAGGCGGUUCGAUAAGUUUGGUGUGAAAUCUCCCGGCUCAACUGGGAGGGUGCGCCGAAGACUGUCGAGCUAGAGUGUGGGAGAGGUAGGCGGAAUUCCUGGUGUAGCGGUGAAAUGCGUAGAUAUCAGGAGGAACACCUGCGGUGUAGACGGCUUACUGGACCACGACUGACGCUGCAACUCGAAAGUGUGGGGAGCAAACAGGAUUAGAAACCCCGGUAGUCC